This 1197-nucleotide long non-coding RNA is filed under the name Coturnix japonica (Japanese quail). RNAcentral's name for it is "lncRNA (ENSCJPG00005007678.1)". The record is from RNAcentral. Lineage: Eukaryota; Metazoa; Chordata; Aves; Galliformes; Phasianidae.
UUUUCUUUUCUUUUCUUUUCUUUUCUUUUCUUUUCUUUUCUUUUCUUUUCUUUUUUUUCCCCCUACCCUCACUUGUUGUUUGAAAUCUUUACCACUUUCAAGGAUGAACACAGUGCCCAUAAUGUGACACCUCAUGACUCUAGCUGAUCCUGCAGAAGAAAACAGGAAUAGAAGGGAAAAAAUAUUGUGGAAGAGCCGCAUCCACUUGCAAAACCACUGGGGCCCUUGUUUCUAUGGCUUCCUGAGCCUUGAGUGCCCUUGUCCAUGCUUGGCUUCCCAGCGCCCACGUGCAGGCUCCCUCUCAUCAAAGGCCUAGGUCAAUCCGAGGAGAUCUCUGGAGGAAGUCCAUCCAUCCUGUUCCUACGCAGUCAGGAUAGGAUUUUCUGCAGUCAGGUUUCUGCAUGCCACUACAAGAGACUCUGGAGCCACUGGAGAAGCGUCUGUGAUGUUCAGAGAGCACCCAUUAAAAUAUGGCUUCCAAACAGAGAAGGAACAUUGCUAAACAUCUUCUAUCUGCUAAUCUUGCAAGUCUCUCCUGCUUUACUUACCAACCAGAGCAAGUUUUGACUGCUGACCAUGCUGCACAGCCAACCCUGCUGUGAAAGAGAAAUGAAAUGCACUCUGCCUCAGGCACUACCAGCAGGACUGUCAGUACAGCAGCUCCUGCUCCAAGAUCUCUUGAGGUGAUAUAUGAGACAGAGUGCCAUACGACUGUCAGACACAAGCGGAGGCUUGUGGCAGGCUGGCAACCAUAGAAAUCUCAUUUUGGAUUGUGAACUAUACUUUUAUAGGACCCCUGCCUGAAACCUUGCUUGUCUCUGGCCAGACUCCUGUGACUUUGGUUUAGUUAUUUUAAAACAGUUUUUUGGGUAUUAGGAUGUCUUUGGAACUUUACUGUGAAUGAGAUCUUGAAUUCCUUCAAAAGGCCUUUGGAAUGCCUAGGUGCGCUGUUCAGAAAGUCUGCUUGUGAAAACAACAGCUUGAUGUUUUGUACUGGCACUAGCAUCUAUAUAGGCUAAUGCGAAUUUUAUCUUGGCAGGGACCGAGUAAAAUGCAGCCUUGAAGAUUUGGCUAUGUGUGAAUAUGAACAAUGGUGAUAUGUUCAUAACAAAUAUGAAGCGUCAAGUGAUACAUUUUACAGGAUCCUUGUGACUGUUGCAAGAAAUGUUAUUUUGCAGCAAAGGCAAUAAAUAUGUG